GACGAACGCUGGCGGCGUGCUUAACACAUGCAAGUCGAACGGAAAGGCCCUGCUUUUGUGGGGUUCUCGAGUGGCGAACGGGUGAGUAACACGUGAGUAACCUGCCCUUGACUUUGGGAUAACUUCAGGAAACUGGGGCUAAUACCGGAUAGGAGCUCCUGCUGCAUGGUGGGGGUUGGAAAGUUUCGGCGGUUGGGGAUGGACUCGCGGCUUAUCAGCUUGUUGGUGGGGUAGUGGCUUACCAAGGCUUUGACGGGUAGCCGGCCUGAGAGGGUGACCGGCCACAUUGGGACUGAGAUACGGACCAGACUCCUACGGGAGGCAGCAGUCGGGAAUAUUGCACAAUGGGCGGAAGCCUGAUGCAGCAACGCCGCGUGCGGGAUGACGGCCUUCGGGUUGUAAACCGCUUUCGCCUGUGACGAAGCGUGAGUGACGGUAAUGGGUAAAGAAGCACCGGCUAACUACGUG
RNAcentral lists this ribosomal RNA (468 nucleotides) under uncultured bacterium. Its description in RNAcentral is "partial 16S ribosomal RNA". It matches the Rfam family "Bacterial small subunit ribosomal RNA", at positions 28 to 507 of the family's 1533-position model. The record is from RNAcentral.